UGAGGCUCUUAUAUUGCUCCUGCAGCGACUCAGAGGGUUAUCUUUAUUUUUUCAGGGCUCUCUUCUUCGGGAUUUGUCAAGAUAAAUUUCGAUGGUAGCAUCAAAGUGACAAGGAUGUUGCUAGUUUUGUCAUCCGAGGAUCGGAUGUUAGAUUACUGGCGGUCGGAGCUCACAUCUAUUUGAGCCUUUUGCUCUGGAAGCUGAGUUUUGUGUUGUUUGAGUUGGUAUCAUCUGUAUCCUACAGGAGCUACGAACAGAGAAGAUCAUUAUU
Molecule: long non-coding RNA, 271 nt
Filed under: Elaeis guineensis (African oil palm)
Lineage: Eukaryota; Viridiplantae; Streptophyta; Magnoliopsida; Arecales; Arecaceae
Description: long non-coding RNA (EGUI_LNC006869)
Source: RNAcentral